GACAGAGGGGGCAAGCGUUGCUCGGAAUCACUGGGCGUAAAGAGCUCGUAGGCGGUUUGUCGCGUCGAAUGUGAAAACCCGGGGCUCAACCCCGGGCCUGCAUUCGAUACGGGCAGACUAGAGUUCGGUAGGGGAGUCUGGAAUUCCUGGUGUAGCGGUGAAAUGCGCAGAUAUCAGGAGGAACACCGGUGGCGAAGGCGGGACUCUGGGCCGAUACUGACGCUGAGGAGCGAAAGCGUGGGGAGCAAACAGG
RNAcentral lists this ribosomal RNA (253 nucleotides) under uncultured bacterium. RNAcentral describes it as "partial 16S ribosomal RNA". It matches the Rfam family "Bacterial small subunit ribosomal RNA", at positions 524 to 776 of the family's 1533-position model. The record is from RNAcentral.